UACGUAGGUGGCAAGCGUUGUCCGGAAUUAUUGGGCGUAAAGCGCGCGCAGGCGGUCCUUUAAGUCUGAUGUGAAAGCCCACGGCUCAACCGUGGAGGGUCAUUGGAAACUGGGGGACUUGAGUACAGAAGAGAAGAGUGGAAUUCCACGUGUAGCGGUGAAAUGCGUAGAGAUGUGGAGGAACACCAGUGGCGAAGGCGACUCUCUGGACGGCAACUGACGCUGAGGCACGAAAGCGUGGGGAGCAAACAGG
This 253-nucleotide ribosomal RNA is filed under the name uncultured bacterium. RNAcentral describes it as "partial 16S ribosomal RNA". It matches the Rfam family "Bacterial small subunit ribosomal RNA", at positions 524 to 776 of the family's 1533-position model. The record is from RNAcentral.